GCAGGGCUAUAGCUCAGUUGGUAGACUGUGGUGCUGAUAAUGCCAAGGUCGCAGGUUCAAUCCCCAUAAGGGACAGCUGCA
Podarcis lilfordi (Lilford's wall lizard) is the source of this 81-nucleotide non-coding RNA. Lineage: Eukaryota; Metazoa; Chordata; Lepidosauria; Squamata; Lacertidae. The record is from the annotation of a GenBank genome assembly.